This is a non-coding RNA of Carica papaya (papaya), 2162 nucleotides long. The record is from RefSeq and is a predicted model, not a curated record. Lineage: Eukaryota; Viridiplantae; Streptophyta; Magnoliopsida; Brassicales; Caricaceae.
GAAAGGUCUUUAAUGAGUUGUAUGAAAUCAAUGUUGGAAAUGAAAAGAAUGUUGUUCUCAUUGCUUCAUUGCUGCCCGUUGAUCUAUCUGCUAGAGAUCGUGAGACUAGUUUCGUCAAGAAACUAAGAUCAGUUAUUCCUGGGGAAUAUGUGGAUUCCAUAAGGAGAAUCUAAGGAUAGUUACUAAGCCGGUGAAUAUCAUCCAUUAGCAAUCUGCUGAAAUUCAAGGAUUUUGGUUGGUUUACAUGCUUUUCUCAGUUAUGUUUAUGAUGAAUUGUGAAGUGCUCUUCUAAAUGAUCAGGGCCAUGAACAAUCAUGUUGCAUGCAGAGAUUUGGGAAAACUAAAAGAGCUUCUUUUCAAGCUUUUAGGUGUCACCUCUGCUUGCUAUCAUUUCUAUUAUGAAGAACUGAAUGAUCAAUUUGCAUUGGAGAACAAUGACAGAGACUGAAAAGAAGGAUAUUCAUCCAAAGCUUUGGCGGGAUGUUGAACUCUGGAAUUCAAAGCGAAAAAUCUGAUUUCCCAUUCCUAGGCAUCAUGAAAAAAGAGGCAGAAAUAAGAGAGAGAUAAUUUCCCUAGAGCUUGUUCAGUAUUAGCUUUAUUAGAAAUGCAUCUUUAUUGUCCAUGUGUGCGUACAGCAUCCUUCUGUUUACAAUUCAUGAUAAGACCAAGUUGUGUUUGCUAUAAAUCAUUUUCUUUUGAAAUAAUAUAUUUGCUGCGAAUCAUGUGUCUUAAACAAAGUUCUUUUGCUAUGUAUGGCAGAAAUAAAUUUUUUUUUGUCGAGUUCAUUAAAAAUUUACACAGAUUAGAAGGGGUGAAAGUUUUAAUUACAAGAAUAAAACUUAAGGUCACAGGGAAUUCUAGGUGAAAUUGGAAUCUAAUAGAAUUUGUAAUGCAGUAAUUUAAUUUUACUUGGAAUUUCAUAUGAACUCAAUUUCUAUUACUUAUAGAUACGAUUUUCAUACAUUUCUAGUUAAAUUAAGAAUAUCUUUUUUCUAUAAAAAAAUAUUUAGAUCUAGACAGAGAUUAGGAAAUUGGAAUAAAGUUAGGACUAUGAUUCCUAGAGUUAUGAUUAGUUUUGUAUUAGGAAUUGAACUUAUUUCAGAAAAAAAAGUUAGGAAUUGAAAUAAAACUAGGACUAUGAUUACUAGAAUUGUAAUAGGGAUCUAAUUGUAUUAGCUUCUCCACAACUACACAUAUUAAUCAUGAAUAAAUUCAUCAAACUAUUAAUUCAAAGAGUUGUUCUUUAAAAGAUCAGAGGUUUUGUUAGAUGAGCCUCGCCAUAGGCUGGUGAGAAGCAAGCAGUCUGCUUGUUUCAGGAUUUCACACUAGCAUGUUCUAUGACCAGAUCCAGAGCAUGAGACUCUGACAUAUCCCUGCAUGGUGAAUAUUAGGUGGAGAUUCAAAAUGGUCUUUUUUGUAUUUGAUGUCUUUAAGACACGGCUUUUUCCCAUGAACUGAAUAUUCAUUGUUCUUGGUGGAAGAUGUACCCAUGAGGUUCUGCAAGUUGUGAUGCUUUAUUUUUUGUGAAUAAAAUACUAAACAUUGAAGUUUUCACAUUUCAUUUGAAACCUCUUUUUCUUGAAAUCUCUGUUGGUAUUAUUUUGCUGACUCUCUCUUCCACUUUCUCUCUCUCCUCUGAAUGAAGAUCUCUUGGUUUUCGAAAAGCUUGUAUAUGGGGUCAAAUUUUUUGUUUAUCUAAUGUGUAUAAUAUAUGUAGUGCUUGUUACUGCAUUUUAUUUAUGAUUGUAGUUCAACACUCCUUAUUUGCUGGAAUGUUGCAGGUGCUGGAUGUGUAAUCUGAGGUAUGAAGAUUCCAUCAGCAAGCUUAUCAAAUAGGCAAUAGUUGUAAGACUAUAGCAGAGAAGUAGUUAUUAUUCACAGAUAAGUAAAUACAUGUUUCUGAGUGAAUCAUAUUGUUGAGAGUACCUGCUGGAAUAUGCUGAAACACUGAAGUUAAUUUCACUCUAAGACGAUCAUUGGGCUGAAAUCACUUCAUUAGAAAUGAUAAGACUAAAAAAAAAAAAUGCACUUUUGUAUUUUCUAAUAAACUGUUUUUUGUAUGUAACUGUCACGCACACGCUCAUACCGAUGUACAUAUGUAUUUUGAUGUAUUAACAUGUACAUAAAAAAUAAGAAAUAUUUUGCAUAGCCAACAUUGUUUC